CAAUAGCGUAUAUUAAAGUUGUUGCAGUUAAAAAGCUCGUAGUUGGAUUUCUGGCGGGAACGGUGGGUCCUUCGCUUCGGCGAUGUGAACUCGGUCCGUUUCCUGCCAUUUUCGGGGAGAACGUGCCUGGCAUUAGGUUGUCGGGUUCGGGAUCCCCGUCGUUUACUGUGAAAAAAUUAGAGUGUUUAAAGCGGCUUACGCCGUUGAAUACAUUAGCAUGGAAUAAUAAGAUAGGACUUUGGUGGUCUAUUUUGUUGGUUUGCACACCAAGGUAAUGAUUAAUAGGGAUAGUUGGGGGUAUUCGUAUUCAAUUGUCAGAGGUGAAAUUCUUGGAUUUAUGGAAGACGAACUACUGCGAAAGCAUUUACCAAGGAUGUUUUCAUUAAUCAAGAACGAAAGUUAGGGGAUCGAAGACGAUUAGAU
RNAcentral lists this ribosomal RNA (423 nucleotides) under uncultured eukaryote. RNAcentral's name for it is "bacterial SSU rRNA". It matches the Rfam family "Eukaryotic small subunit ribosomal RNA", at positions 592 to 1013 of the family's 1831-position model. The record is from RNAcentral.